CGUAGUUGAAACUAAUUAUUUAUUGUCAUUACGACAUUUGGAAGCUUUUGUAUAUGUUUCACUACGAAUGUUCGUGUAUUUAUAAAUUAACGUUGCUUUAUCGAUUUCUUUCGUUGAAAUCUAUCAAAAACCUUUGCACUCUAUCAACACAUACCAAUACACAUACACAUGUCAUAUAUGUCAGCAAAUAGCCUUGAAUCAUUGGAUUAUUGAAUCAAAUAAAAAUCCAUAUGUACACGAGGCAAAGAAUAUCUAUAAAGACCAUUGAAAAGGACACGAGUAACCUUUGGGUAAUAGUUGGUGGGAAUUCUGACUGUGCCGAUUAUCACGUUAAAGUGUUUGCUCUGCUGCAACUCCCAGUGAUGAAAUGUGUGUCGGUUGUAAUUGGUUCAGCAAGGCAAUCGUUUGAUGUCAUAAAUCUUUGAACCAAGCAAAAUUUAGAUGUGGUGGCCUGUGCGAUAUAUUUAAUACAAAUUUCGUCAAUGGUACUAAGGACCUUUGAAUAAUUAUAGCAAACCUCGACUUCUUAUCUUCAAAUUCCGCAAACGAGUGGCAACUACACAGAAAAUAUGGGAUGCAACCUGUGGAUGGGUCCGGUAGCUCGCAACUAAGCUUUUCGUGACAGCAAUGAACACCAUAACGAUCGGACCCUUCAUGGUGCUUACAACUGUCCCAUGCCGGGAUGGACUGUAAGUCUCCGAGUAAAGCGGUUGCCAGGCGCGUGUCCUUGAACCAAACCUAGCCUAUCACAUUCAUCAUCUUAUUCAUCACCGCUGACGAUGGAGUGAGCAGUGCGGGUAAAGAUUUGGUGACCGUUAUCUUCAAAUUCCAGAUAGCAAACUUCGACUUCUUAUCUUCAAAUUCCGUAAACGAGUGGCGACUACACAGAAAAUAUGGGAUGCAGCGUCCAACCUGUGGAUGGGUCCGGUUGCUUUUCGUGACAGCAAUGAACACCAUACAGAUCGGACCCUUCGUGCCGUGAUGUACUAGAAGACUCCGAGUGCAUGUGUCCUUGAACCUAACCUAACCUUUCACAUUCAUCACCGCUGACGAUGGAGUGAGCAGUGUGGGUGAAGAUCUCGUGCCCGUUAUCAGCCACAGGCCGUUCAGCUAGCAAACUUCGACUUCUUAUCUCCAAAUUCCAUUAACAACUGGCGUCUACACAGACAAUAUGGGAUGCAACAUUUUAGACCCGGCAAGAAGAAUCAAUGCCCGUAUCGAAAUCCUUUGGGAAGUCCAAAGCUGGAUCCCAUGACGCUGUCCAGGAAUGAAUAACUUAAAAACGCUGUCUAAAGGAACCGCACAAACGGUCGCAGAUUGUUGCUGAUUGCCUUAGCCAAUCUGCAUCAGCAUGAGCUAUGCAAAUCUCUACGAUGAGUGUUCUUGCCCAGUCUGCCUGGCUCCUCUCGCUUUUUGUAGUUGCUGUCGUGUGAGUAGGCUUGUCUAUAACAAUAUAUUUUUAAUUUUCUUCUAACAUUGGGCCAA
Molecule: long non-coding RNA, 1485 nt
Organism: Stomoxys calcitrans (stable fly)
Lineage: Eukaryota; Metazoa; Arthropoda; Insecta; Diptera; Muscidae
Exons: 3
Source: RefSeq, a predicted model, not a curated record